GUGUAAUCAUGUCAAGUUUCACUUUGCAAUUGAAUAAUAACUUCUUAAAGGAUCUUGCUUUCUUAUAUCCCAACUUUAAUGUUGCAAAGAUGAAUAAAUAAAACGUAUUAUUUUCCUGUUAAUGCAUAAGCAUGCUAUUAACAAACUAAAAAUUGAACCUCAUUGUUCUGUGUUUGCAAUGGUGUAGGCAUUCUGUUAACUCCUUUAUAUGCUAUUAUUAAAUCGCAGCUUCUAACAAACUAGUUUAAAUUUGGCUUAUGAGCAGAUUAAAGAAUUACCUCAGGAUG
RNAcentral lists this unclassified non-coding RNA (287 nucleotides) under Hevea brasiliensis (rubber tree). Lineage: Eukaryota; Viridiplantae; Streptophyta; Magnoliopsida; Malpighiales; Euphorbiaceae. The record is from RNAcentral.